UGGAUGCUCACAGUCAUCCAUUUGAUGGAG
This 30-nucleotide non-coding RNA is filed under the name Mus musculus (house mouse). The record is from RNAcentral. Lineage: Eukaryota; Metazoa; Chordata; Mammalia; Rodentia; Muridae.